AUGUUGGCUUUGCAACUGCAUUUUAGAGAGUGCAGUCAAGUCAAGAUGCUUCCCAGCUUCCUCAGAUGCUUUCCUAACUUGGGGAUGCUGAUUGUCGAGUCUUCUCUUGAAACCACCAGCAGCCGUAGUCUCAAGUUCUGGCAGGAGACAGGUCCUAUUGAGUGUGUCCAGUCGCACCUUGAGACUCUUGUCUUUCUGUGA
Molecule: ribosomal RNA, 201 nt
Filed under: Triticum aestivum (bread wheat)
Lineage: Eukaryota; Viridiplantae; Streptophyta; Magnoliopsida; Poales; Poaceae
Description: partial small subunit ribosomal RNA
Source: RNAcentral